Long non-coding RNA from Oncorhynchus keta (chum salmon), 498 nucleotides. RefSeq lists it as uncharacterized. NCBI's taxonomy places the organism in Eukaryota, Metazoa, Chordata, Actinopteri, Salmoniformes, Salmonidae. The record is from RefSeq and is a predicted model, not a curated record. The transcript is spliced from 4 exons.
GAGAUGGUUAAUAGUUCAGACAGAUGAGGAACGUCUUGUCUCUGAGAUGGUUAAUAGUUCAGACAGAUGAGGAACGUCUUGUCUCUGAGAUGGGUUAAUAGUUCAGAUGAGGAACGUCUUGUCUCUGAGAUGGUUAAUAGUUCAGAUGAGGAACGUCUUGUCUCUGAGAUGGUUAAUAGUUCAGACAGAUGAGGAACGUCUUGUCUCUGAGAGGGUUAAUAGUUCAGACAGAUGAGGAACGUCUUGUCUCUGAGAUGGUUAAUAGUUCAGACAGAUGAGGAACGUAUUGUCUCUGAGAUGGUUUAAUAGUUCAGACAGAUGAGGAACGUCUUGUGUCUGAGAGGGUUAAUAGUUCAGACAGAUGAGGAACGUCUUGUCUCUGAGAUGGGUUAAUAGUUCAGACAGAUGAGGAACGUCUUGUGUCUGAGAGGGUUAAUAGUUCAGACAGAUGAGGAACGUCUUGUCUCUGAGAUGGUUAAUAGUUCAGACAGAUGAGGA